Molecule: long non-coding RNA, 2989 nt
Organism: Ooceraea biroi (clonal raider ant)
Lineage: Eukaryota; Metazoa; Arthropoda; Insecta; Hymenoptera; Formicidae
Source: RefSeq, a predicted model, not a curated record
CGCCGCGACGGAGUUCACUGGUCACUCCAGGAUCCCCUUAAGUCGCCUCUACUGUUGGCGUUAAGGCACACGAGCGGAGAACAAAGUCUUCGUCGAACACGAAUGUAUCGCGCGUCGUCGCGCGAAAGUAACGAACGUUAUUCAAUUUUCAGCACACAACGAGAAAACUGAAUUUCCGAAGACGCGAUGAAACUCGGUUAAAAAGUUCGGAUUUUAGAGGUAUAAAGACGAUUUUCAAGACACAUAGGGGCACGUAGAUCUCACGUAUUAAAUAAGGUAACGACAGAUUUUGAUGAAAGUCGAUAGUCGAUGUUAAAAAUCGUUAAAGCUGUCUGAAGCAACGCCAAACAUUUCAAAUCAUUCGAGCACCAGUGAGUACCGAAGAAAUGUAACGAUUGUAAAUAUAUUUAAAUAUAUUUAAGGAAAGAGAUCAUGAUAAUAUUAAAAAAGCAUAUUGUGUGGAAAUGUGCACCCUAAUGAUCUUCAUAAUCUUACACUUCCCAUUGUUCGGAAGCAUUUGAAUGUCGCGCUCAUUGUAUUUGAACUGUGUCGCUACUGCAUUGUGUUGCAUUAGCAGUAAGGGAAAAAGACUAAGACAACAUUAAUGAGGAUGGUGAUAAUAGAGCCAAAUCUGUAGUGUUACCAUUUGUAAACGGUCUUAGUGACAUUCUCCACAGGGUUUUUAAAAGCUAUAACAUUAAUGUAAUACACGCGAUAAAUAAGAGAUUAGACUGUAUCAUAAAUUCUGGCAAAGACGCGUUACCCGAUAGUAACAAAACUGGUGUAGUUUACCGCUUGAAAUGUAAGGAUUGCGAUGCCUGCUACGUGGGCCAAACAAAAAGGCACCUGGCUACGAGGGUCAAGGAACAUGGAAGCGAUAUUUCGAAACGUGAAGGUAAUUGCUCAGUUGUCAGCAGACACAGAGCUUCCUUGUUCCAUGACUUUGACUGGUCAAAGAUAGACAUUCUACACCAAGAACAACAUUAACAUAAACGCGGAGUGGCGGAAAUGAUUUUUAUUAAAAGACAUCACGAUGCGAUCAAUCUACAGACGGACACUGAUAACUUGCCGGGUGUUUAUGAUCCUAUACUGAAAAAUAUUUAGAACUGUUUUGAUUCGUCACCGAAAACAUCAUUCUUCGACUUGUCAUCAUCGAGUACGGACGUGAUUCUUUGUCAUUGUUCGAUAGUUUAUGCGAUGUCCUUUUUUUGGUUAGUAUGUUAUUCUGUUGUAAUUUAUCGAGGUGAAUUUUUAUUGUAAUCAUAUUGUGUGCCUGUUUAAGUUAUUAAAUUGUAGUGUAAUUUGCGUUGUUGAUUGGUUAUAGGAAGAAAACGACAUUGUAAUUAUUAACUGUAUGUACUAACUUGAAACCUGAAGAGGGCCAGAAAUUCUGGUCGAAACGUUGUUUUUCACUGAACAAUAAAGUUGCCAGUGGUGUCGACAUAUCAUAAUUCUGUUAAAAAGACUAAGGUUCUCAGCGUCCACGGAAAUGCAAUAUUUCUAGAUUUUUAAGUCGUAUUAUAUUAUUCUUACGUUUUAUGUGUAAUCAAUAAUAGUGAAGAUAUAAAAACAUUUUUUGGGAUCCAUCUAGCAGCCGGAUACGAAUCGCGCGUUGAGAAAGAAUAUUUGUUAUAAGGCGAAAACUACAUUGUAUAACGCUAGUAUUCUUGUAUAACGCUAGAGGUUAGAAGUGUCUGUCGGUGCUAUCUGCAACGAAGCAUUAUUAACAAUGGCUCAGACUAAAUUAAGUAAGUUAAAAAAGCGUUGGUAUGAUUAAGACAAGCUUGACAAGAUUUAAAGCAGUUUUAGAUAAUUAUUCACCACAUCACGAUUACAGUGCAUUUAAAAUUCAUCGGAAAAGCAAAGUCUUUAUUACCAGAGUUUGAGAACAUUCAUUUAUACAGGGUGAAGAUAGCGAUAACAACUCUAGACAAUUAUCGAGGAUAAUUAUUACGUUACAAAUAGCGAGAGUGUUGGCAACUGUAUCCAAUACUUGCGUGUUAAGAUGCGCAAGUAAUGCAAUUACACUUUUGCUGACAAAUAAAAGACUUUAUUCUUUACUGUUGCACAAUGUGUACGUCAUAUCGACCAAGAAAAAAAAGAAAGAAGAAUGUGCACAUAAGAAGUCGAACUCAACAAAAGUAACAUAUCGAUUCCUACGCCAUCUGACUCAUUUAAAGUUCAAAUCGUCGACACUCAUGUAUGUCUAAGUUUAAAUAUUUUACGUACUUUUAUACAGAAACGUUUGUAAUAAUUAUCAACUGUAUCAACUGUUGAAUGCUGAAUCAUGAUAUACUUUAUCAGAUCGACUUUCUCUCUCAAUAUAUUGGAUCAAGCAUAUCGAAUAUUUCUAUAUUGUAAUGUAAUAAUAUAAUAUGUCAGAAGAAAGAUAUAUGAUGCAGUGAAACUUCAUUAUUUCAAAGAAAAAUGGUUGUAUCGAUUCCACUCUUGUGAUAAUAUCAUUGGCUUAACACAUUGCGAACUGCAAAUUGUUUUUAUACUGCUAAUAUCCAGCGGUUAGCUUCUUUUCUUGUGUUAGAAUUUUUUCUUAUUCUUUUUUGUUUAAAUUAUUUAUGAGUGGUUAAUAAUUAAAAAUCAUUUUAAAAGUCAUCAUGUUAAAUACUUAUUUUCAACAAAUAUUGUAAAAUUAUAUGCGCAAUAUGAAAUGCGGGAUAUCUCGUCAUCCGUCCGCAAUGUGUUAAGAUCGUAACGACAACGUAAUGACUCUCGACAAACUACUCGUUUAUUAAAAAUGUCGGUGGCUUCUGGAUAAAUGUGAUUAAAGGUGUAAGAGUUGAUACGGCUUCGUUCCUCGGGCAACAAACCAGAGUCUCGCGAAUUACGCGGCCAAGAGUCUUCCUUCUUCUCUUUCUUUUCUUAUAUCGCUUCUCUUCCCCUUUAGAUCUUUAGAUUAUCUUAUUAUUAAUCAAUGCGCUUACGCUGCGAGAUCCGAGAUCCGAGAAGCGAUAAACGUUGGCAAGUGAUAAAA